RNAcentral lists this ribosomal RNA (253 nucleotides) under uncultured bacterium. Its description in RNAcentral is "partial 16S ribosomal RNA". It matches the Rfam family "Bacterial small subunit ribosomal RNA", at positions 524 to 776 of the family's 1533-position model. The record is from RNAcentral.
UACGUAGGGGGCAAGCGUUAUCCGGAUUUACUGGGUGUAAAGGGGGCGCAGACGGCGCGGCAAGUCCGGAGUGAAAUCCCAGGGCCCAACCCUGGGGCUGCUCUGGAAACUGCCGGGCUGGAGUGCUGGAGGGGCAGGCGGAAUUCCUAGUGUAGCGGUGAAAUGCGUAGAUAUUAGGAGGAACACCGGUGGCGAAGGCGGUCUGCUGGACAGCAACUGACGCUGAGGCGCGAAAGCGUGGGGAGCAAACAGG